GAAAUGCGAUAAGUAAUGUGAAUUGCAGAAUUCAGUGAAUCGUCGAAUCUUUGAACGCACAUUGCGCUCCCUGGUAUUCCGGAGAGCAUGCCUGUCCGAGCGUCAUUGCUGCCCUUCAAGCCCGGCUUGUGUGUUGGGUCGUCGUCCCCUCCGGGGGACGGGCCCGAAAGGCAGCGGCGGCACCGCGUCCGGUCCUCGAGCGUAUGGGGCUUUGUCACCCGCUCGAUAAGGACCGGCCGGGCGCCAGCCGGCGUCUCCAACCUUUUUUUCUCAGGUUGACCUCGGAUCAGGUAGGGAUACCCGCUGAACUUAAGC
This 315-nucleotide unclassified non-coding RNA is filed under the name plant metagenome. Its description in RNAcentral is "partial contains 5.8S ribosomal RNA, internal transcribed spacer 2, and large subunit ribosomal RNA". The stretch from base 1 to 105 matches the Rfam family "5.8S ribosomal RNA", at positions 50 to 154 of the family's 154-position model. The record is from RNAcentral.